GAUGAACGCUGGCGACGUGCCUAAUACAUGCAAGUCGAGCGAACAGACGAGGAGCUUGCUCCUCUGACGUUAGCGGCGGACGGGUGAGUAACACGUGGAUAACCUACCUAUAAGACUGGGAUAACUUCGGGAAACCGGAGCUAAUACCGGAUAAUAUAUUGAACCGCAUGGUUCAAUAGUGAAAGACGGUUUUGCUGUCACUUAUAGAUGGAUCCGCGCCGCAUUAGCUAGUUGGUAAGGUAACGGCUUACCAAGGCAACGAUGCGUAGCCGACCUGAGAGGGUGAUCGGCCACACUGGAACUGAGACACGGUCCAGACUCCUACGGGAGGCAGCAGUAGGGAAUCUUCCGCAAUGGGCGAAAGCCUGACGGAGCAACGCCGCGUGAGUGAUGAAGGUCUUCGGAUCGUAAAACUCUGUUAUUAGGGAAGAACAAAUGUGUAAGUAACUAUGCACGUCUUGACGGUACCUAAUCAGAAAGCCACGGCUAACUACGUG
RNAcentral lists this ribosomal RNA (497 nucleotides) under uncultured bacterium. RNAcentral's name for it is "partial 16S ribosomal RNA". It matches the Rfam family "Bacterial small subunit ribosomal RNA", at positions 28 to 507 of the family's 1533-position model. The record is from RNAcentral.